This 740-nucleotide ribosomal RNA is filed under the name uncultured bacterium. RNAcentral describes it as "bacterial SSU rRNA". It matches the Rfam family "Bacterial small subunit ribosomal RNA", at positions 790 to 1530 of the family's 1533-position model. The record is from RNAcentral.
GUAGUCCUGGCCGUAAACGAUGUCGACUUGGAGGUUGUGCCCUUGAGGCGUGGCUUCCGGAGCUAACGCGUUAAGUCGACCGCCUGGGGAGUACGGCCGCAAGGUUAAAACUCAAAUGAAUUGACGGGGGCCCGCACAAGCGGUGGAGCAUGUGGUUUAAUUCGAUGCAACGCGAAGAACCUUACCUGGUCUUGACAUCCACGGAGGUUUUCAGAGAUGAGAAUGUGCCUUCGGGAACCGUGAGACAGGUGCUGCAUGGCUGUCGUCAGCUCGUGUUGUGAAAUGUUGGGUUAAGUCCCGCAACGAGCGCAACCCUUAUCCUUUGUUGCCAGCGGUCCGGCCGGGAACUCAAAGGAGACUGCCAGUGAUAAACUGGAGGAAGGUGGGGAUGACGUCAAGUCAUCAUGGCCCUUACGACCAGGGCUACACACGUGCUACAAUGGCGCAUACAAAGAGAAGCGACCUCGCGAGAGCAAGCGGACCUCAUAAAGUGCGUCGUAGUCCGGAUUGGAGUCUGCAACUCGACUCCAUGAAGUCGGAAUCGCUAGUAAUCGUGGAUCAGAAUGCCACGGUGAAUACGUUCCCGGGCCUUGUACACACCGCCCGUCACACCAUGGGAGUGGGUUGCAAAAGAAGUAGGUAGCUUAACCUUCGGGAGGGCGCUUACCACUUUGUGAUUCAUGACUGGGGUGAAGUCGUAACAAGGUAACCGUAGGGGAACCUGCGGCUGGAUCACCUCC